ACCAUGCNAGUCGAACGGCAGCACGGGAGCAAUCCUGGUGGCGAGUGGCGAACGGGUGAGUAAUAUAUCGGAACGUGCCCAGUCGUGGGGGAUAACGCAGCGAAAGCUGUGCUAAUACCGCAUACGAUCUACGGAUGAAAGCGGGGGAUCGCAAGACCUCGCGCGAUUGGAGCGGCCGAUAUCAGAUUAGCUAGUUGGUGGGGUAAAGGCCCACCAAGGCGACGAUCUGUAGCUGGUCUGAGAGGACGACCAGCCACACUGGAACUGAGACACGGUCCAGACUCCUACGGGAGGCAGCAGUGGGGAAUUUUGGACAAUGGGCGCAAGCCUGAUCCAGCAAUGCCGCGUGCAGGAUGAAGGCCUUCGGGUUGUAAACUGCUUUUGUACGGAACGAAACGGUGAGCUCUAAUAAAGUUUGCUAAUGACGGUACCGUAAGAAUAAGCACCGGCUAACUACGUGCCAGCAGCCGCGGUAAUACGUAGGGUGCGAGCGUUAAUCGGAAUUACUGGGCGUAAAGCGUGCGCAGGCGGUUAUAUAAGACAGAUGUGAAAUCCCCGGGCUCAACCUGGGACCUGCAUUUGUGACUGUAUAGCUAGAGUACGGUAGAGGGGGAUGGAAUUCCGCGUGUAGCAGUGAAAUGCGUAGAUAUGCGGAGGAACACCGAUGGCGAAGGCAAUCCCCUGGACCUGUACUGACGCUCAUGCACGAAAGCGUGGGGAGCAAACAGGAUUAGAUACCCUGGUAGUCCACGCCCUAAACGAUGUCAACUGGUUGUUGGGUCUUCACUGACUCAGUANCGAAGCUAACGCGUGAAUUGACNGCNUGGGGANUACGGCCCCANGUUNAACUCAAGGANUGACGGGGACCCCCCANCGUGGAUG
This 882-nucleotide ribosomal RNA is filed under the name Rhodoferax sp. RNAcentral describes it as "bacterial SSU rRNA". It matches the Rfam family "Bacterial small subunit ribosomal RNA", at positions 53 to 935 of the family's 1533-position model. Lineage: Bacteria; Pseudomonadati; Pseudomonadota; Betaproteobacteria; Burkholderiales; Comamonadaceae. The record is from RNAcentral.